This is a non-coding RNA of Biomphalaria pfeifferi, 816 nucleotides long. The record is from the annotation of a GenBank genome assembly. Lineage: Eukaryota; Metazoa; Mollusca; Gastropoda; Planorbidae.
ACUACACCAGCCAAAUGUUAGACUAUACAUAUAAUAAUAAUCUUCACCGCUUAGAAGCUUGAUAAGUUCACAUUGGUUAAGAGUUGGUAAGAUCAACUGCCCAAAAGAUAACAAGAAACAGCCUUGAGCAUUAUAUAAGACAUGAUUAAAAUAAUUCAACAUAAUUAUUCCGUAGAAAAUAUUAGCAUUUUCAGCUUUCAUCUAAUUGUUCAGACAUAAGCCAUACAUUAUUAGACAUGAUCAAAUCUGGCUAAGAGAACACAUAUACAGGAUGACUAUACAAUGUUUCUGCUUUUAAAAGAGAAUGUCCAUGGUUAGAAAUAUAAAAAAAGAGUUCCAUUUGUCACAGUUCUAAAAUAAUGUAAAAGAUUUCAUUUAAAAAUAGCCAAGAACACACUUAGUAAUGACAGCCACCUUGAGAAAAUUACAGAUGUGAACUGAUAAUUACAGACACUUAAAACACAGGAAACAAUUUGUCUAUCUAUCAAGAGAUAAUUUGAAAUCCAAAGUUUCCCCACUUAAAACUACUAACAUCUACAAAUGUUUACAAUGACCCAAUUGAACAUUUCACCAAAUUUAGUAAGAUACAGGCAACUAGAUAUAGUGAACAAACAUCAAAGUUCUUUGCUUUUAGCUGGAGGGACAUAUUCUUCUUUUAACCUUUUGCUUGCAUUUAAUACUGCACUUGAUUAAACAGAAGCUACUUUUAGAUCCUAACCUAGUAUGUCAACACUAAAACUGAAUGUGUGUGUUCCCAAGACAUUGAAGCUACAAAUACAAAAUAUGAAUACUGACAUCAUGCAAACAAAUAUUUUA